UGUUGGUUUGCACACCAGGGCAAUGAUUAAUAGGGACAGUUGGGGGUGUUCAUAUUUCAGCGUCAGAGGUGAAAUUCUUGGAUCGCUGAAAGAUGAGCUUAGGCGA
This is a ribosomal RNA of Phytophthora infestans T30-4, 106 nucleotides long. Lineage: Eukaryota; Oomycota; Peronosporomycetes; Peronosporales; Peronosporaceae. The record is from RefSeq and is a predicted model, not a curated record.